This 442-nucleotide ribosomal RNA is filed under the name uncultured bacterium. RNAcentral's name for it is "bacterial SSU rRNA". It matches the Rfam family "Bacterial small subunit ribosomal RNA", at positions 9 to 457 of the family's 1533-position model. The record is from RNAcentral.
GAGUUUGAUCAUGGCUCAGGACGAACGCUGGCGGCGUGCUUAACACAUGCAAGUCGAACGGUGACCUCUCCUUCGGGAGGGCGAUCAGUGGCGAACGGGGUGAGUAACACGUGGGCAACCUGCCCCUAGCUCUGGGAUAACUCCGGGAAACCGGGCUAAUACCGGAUACGACCUCGGAGGACAUCCUCUGAGGUGGAAAGAAUUUCGGCUAGGGAUGGGCCCGCGGCCUAUCAGCUUGUUGGUGAGGUAACGGCCCACCAAGGCGACGACGGGUAGCCGGCCUGAGAGGGCGACCGGCCACACUGGGACUGAGACACGGCCCAGACUCCUACGGGAGGCAGCAGUGGGAAUAUUGCGCAAUGGGCGAAAGCCUGACGCAGCGACGCCGCGUGAGGGACGAAGGCCUCGGUGUAACCUACUUCUAGCAGGACGAAGCGAAAGU